UACGUAGGGGGCUAGCGUUGUCCGGAUUUAUUGGGCGUAAAGAGCUCGUAGGCGGUUUGUCGCGUCUGCUGUGAAAACCCGAGGCUCAACCUCGGGCCUGCAGUGGGUACGGGCAGACUAGAGUGCGGUAGGGGAGAUUGGAAUUCCUGGUGUAGCGGUGAAAUGCGCAGAUAUCAGGAGGAACACCGGUGGCGAAGGCGGGUCUCUGGGCCGAUACUGACGCUGAGGAGCGAAAGCGUGGGGAGCGAACAGG
Molecule: ribosomal RNA, 253 nt
Filed under: uncultured bacterium
Lineage: Bacteria
Description: partial 16S ribosomal RNA
Rfam family: Bacterial small subunit ribosomal RNA
Source: RNAcentral